GGAGGCGUGGCAGAGUGGUUGAAUGCAGCUGACUUGAAAUCAGCCGUACCUGCAAGGGUACCGUGGGUUCGAAUCCUACCGCCUCCGCCA
RNAcentral lists this transfer RNA (90 nucleotides) under Gammaproteobacteria bacterium. Its description in RNAcentral is "tRNA-Ser". It matches the Rfam family "tRNA". Rfam says of the family: Transfer RNA (tRNA) molecules are approximately 80 nucleotides in length. The record is from RNAcentral. Lineage: Bacteria; Pseudomonadati; Pseudomonadota; Gammaproteobacteria.